This is a non-coding RNA of Struthio camelus australis, 2596 nucleotides long. NCBI's taxonomy places the organism in Eukaryota, Metazoa, Chordata, Aves, Struthioniformes, Struthionidae. The record is from RefSeq and is a predicted model, not a curated record.
ACGCCAAGGUGUCCUGCCGGCACGCCGCAGUGCGCUUGUGCUUUACUUCCAGCUGAAGCAGCAGGCUGGCUUUUCUGGACUAUUUCUCUCCCCGCUUGCUGUCAUAACUCUAUUGUAUGUGGGUAUCCAUAAAGUACUUUCCCUGAAGGCACGCUGUAAAAUACUUUCACAUGGGGAAAUAAGUCAUGAUUGCUGUAUACUUUAAAGGGCGCAGAAUGAAUACUUCACCUUGUGUAAUAAGUAAGCCUGAUCCUGCUCGCUCUGCAGCAAGACAUGCUCCUGUCGAUGGGGCUGCUCGCAGCAGUAGGUGCUCCACUUAGCUCAUAGCCAUAGGAGGACGCCCUGAGUAAGGAUCUACUUUUCUGCAGGUUAGUAACACUAUGCAAUAUGUGCAGGAAGAUUUUUUUUUUAAUAGCGUAACCAUAGCAGAAGAAGAGUUUCUGAGAAGUCAGUGUCGUUGCUUGAGAAGGGGGGAGGAGCGGACGUUACACUCGUGUAAGAUUUUGUGCCUGUGCUGGAGGAAAAAGCAUCUCCUUGAGCACCGUCGUUCUGAUCCUUCUCAGUGUUUCUUUUGGAGGUGCCCAGCUGCACUGCAAACUGGGCACUGAGGUCUGCCCGAGUUGCUGUGGGUAGGAGAAGAAAGGGAGGAGAGCGAUGAGGUGAUCCUCUGUUGCCAGGCACCUCCGUUUGCAGAAACAUCCAAAGCCGAAGGUGUUGAACGGCUUGUCCUGCCCAGGUGGCCAGAGUGCGUCCUCUAUGCCUUUCCUUAGGAUCAGAAGUGGAAAGUUGGAAGAAACUCGUGGCCUGCUAGUAACUUGCUGGCAUCCAUUCCUGGAGGCAAAAGUCACUUAAAGCUUUGAGGUCUUCUUUAUGUGCUGCUUACACCCAAAGGGAAGCAGAGCGUCCUUUGGAGAUGUUACCACACGGGUGGGUUCUUGUGAGUAGCUCUUCAAAAAGGAGUGACUUUGCUGAAUGAAAAGGCUCUCAGAGGUGCAAUUUCUGCUUGUGGAUUCCAGUGUUUGUAUACAGAGUUCCUGCUUACGCGCAGAGUGGUGUUUUCCCUGUGAUGUGAUCGUUACAGUACCUAGAAUUAAUUAGCCAUUGGUGGCAGUGCUUCAAGACAGCAGCUCCUGCAUACUAAUGAUUUGCGUGCUAGGAGUAUUCUGCAUUUUGGGUUUGAAAGGAAAGUUUACUGUUUGUAUUUCGACUGUUGCAGAGAACCUGGUGUAUGGACGUUGUUUUGUGUUUGGCCUGAAAAUGGACCUCGCCAAGUGCUGUUAGAGCGUUAGCUGAUUUUAGCUGAAAAGCGAUGGUAUUUGAAGGAGCAAAGUUUAGUAUGGCGUUUAUUGCAGACUUCCAGUGUCACCUAUUACCUUCACAUACACUCGCCUUUAAAUAAUGCACUUUUGAGCUGAAACCUUCCAUGCUGUUGAGUUAGGAAUCUAAAUAUGAAUAUCGGUACCAUGUUCAAUGUGCUAGUUUAAAUGACUUUUCCACUGACUCACUCUGCGACUUUGAAUGAGCGAGGAGUGGAAGUCAGUAGUCCUGAAUCACUCUGUCCUCCAGACAAUUACCCUCCACCCCCCGUAAUUCUUUCGAGCAGCAAUCAUAUUUUAAAAGCAGUGAUAACAGCCGUGUUUUUCCCCAUUCUAAUCGCUCGGAAUUUAAGAGCUACAGAAAUGAUCUGAAACAUUUUCAGCCAGGUUGAAAGCUUUCAGCUUUGAGACGUUUCUGUAGGUCACGGAGUCUGGAUAUACAAAGCCUUUUUCAGCAGCAGUGGGAUUUCGCUAUGUGGUUUGGAGAAUUGUCACAAGUGUUUCUGUCACCUGCCAGGGAAGAGGAACUAGAGUGAUCCUCGCAGUCUUACUGGGACAGUCUUUUACGGACUGCAAGACCAGAAGAGGAAAGCAGAAAGGGACCCUCAUUGCCAAACAGGCUGCUUUGCCCAAGAUCUGGCUGUCCCACUGUUUUCUAGGUUUCUCAUUUUUUAUUGCGACGUGUUUUAUUACUGGACAGAAACCGCCCUUCAUUGCCCCAACAGCAAAGCGAACGUGAUCUUUUUGCUGCUGCAGGCACGCACCCUCUUUGUGCCGUUUCUGAAACCUCGAGGCUGGAGGCCUGAGGGGAAGGAGUGGAGGGGAAGCACGGGGAAGGAGAGCAGGGAUCUCGGAAAUAACUGAGCGCUCACCGGCUCGAAUGAAGUUAACUGGCUGGUUAGAGGAGCGACUCGGUGCUUCUAACUGAAAGAAGAGGUGGAGCAGGAGCUCGGCCCUUUCUGGACGCCGCCGGAUCCGCUGGGCAAUAGCAACGAGCCAGCAGCAGGGGAGGCAUUGACUAGCGCUUGCCGGCAGCCGUGAGUCACGAGCUGGGAGAAACCUAGUUUCGUUAGUUGCUACAUUCACGAAACCAUGUGUGCUCUUUUACCUUCUCCCAGAACAAAAGCGGGGUUUCUUGAAAUCAAGUGAUUGCAAGGAAAAGGGGACUUCUCAAAACCUUUGUUUUCCUAUUGGGCUCUCCGACGUCCCCUUAAUAUUCAACAGAAAGUGAUUUAUAGCCCUCCUGACACGAUGGUUUGGUGUUUCCUUUGUGUGCAUAA